AAAUCAAAAACUCAUCUGGGUUU
RNAcentral lists this small nuclear RNA (23 nucleotides) under Arabidopsis thaliana (thale cress). Its description in RNAcentral is "snRNA_15863". The record is from RNAcentral. Lineage: Eukaryota; Viridiplantae; Streptophyta; Magnoliopsida; Brassicales; Brassicaceae.